UGUGUGUGUGUGUGUGCGGGCAGGCGGACGGCCGGGCGUGAGUAUGUCAGUGUGUGUUCCCGUUGGUCUCGCAAACUGUCUUUGUGUUGUAAUCAGAAGGUCUGACCCAGUUCUUUCUCUGUCGCUUUGCUCAAACGACUUACUGAUCCCAUAAUACAGCUGCUCCUACACAUGCACUUGCACACUCCACACGUACACUCCACACGCACAGAGAAAGACAAGUUCCUUAUGAAAGAGAGAACAGAGAACAAACAGCUUCCAGUCAGACAGAGAGAGACAUAUCCAAUGAGAACCUCAACAUUCCACUGCUAAACCAUGUGACUUUUCAUUCCGUGCCAGGCGAAUGUGGGUAUUGAGGGAGAGGUGUGAGUGGUAUGCACCAGAUCUCCAGUGCUCACCCACAGCCCGGUUCAACCUGUGCCUGCACUCUGGAGGGUCCGGGAUGAAGGGGUCAUCCAGCCUGGAGGAGUGGUGCCAAGGAGCCGCCCGUCAGUCAGGAGCUGCCAGAGCCGCCCGUCAGUCAAGAGCUGCCAGAUCCCAUAAUUUCAAACCAACAAAUUGUACAUUUCAUACUUCGGUCAUCAUACUCCGGUGCAAUUUCAUUACCUCUAAAUGGUCAAUUACAAUAUUGAGAUAAGCUAGUCCUGUCUUGCAAGCUCUUGCUCUCUCUCAAGCAACUGUGGGUCUAUCAUUGGCUUAGAGAACCACUCUACAGUGUAAUGACAAUGCAAUACAAGAUGAACAGGAAUUACAAUUCUCUCACGGGUGACCAAAAAUAACUCUUUGAAAGUCACACCCCUACUAAGCCACACCUCCAGUCUUCCCCUGUCACCUGGUGGGUCAUAGCUCAAUUACCCAGCAAUAAUUACUCAACUAUGUGACCCAACAGCUAGAUAUUAAUUUAUAUGGAAUGGAAGAAGAAAACCAUCAUUGGAAUAGAACUGAAAUUAGAAUUUAGACUAUCUGAAUUAAAAUAGAAUUUUAAUUGGAAAAUAAAAAUAUUCUUGGAAUUGGAAUUUAGAAAUGUGAAACUUGUAUUAAUUCCAGUUACUGGUGUUAAUGCAUUUAUCAUUGAAGUUGAAUGCAAACUUUGUUUUAAAUCAAAAAAUUAUAAUUAUAUACAUUACUGUAUAUACAUUCUUUUUUUAAACGUUUUCCAAUGAGGAGUUGACGUGUGUGAAUAUACAAUGCUUUCGGAAAGCAAUUGUCACGCCCUGGUCUUAGUAUUUUGUGUUUUCUUUAUUAAUUUGGUCAGGCCAGGGUGUGACAUGGGUUUUGUAUGUGGUGUGUUUUGUCUUGGGGUUUUUGUUAGGUAUUGGGUUUGUAUUAUAGUAGGGGUAUCUAGCAUAGUCUAUGGCUGUCUGGAAUGGUUCUCAAUCUGAGGCAGGUGUUUAUCGUUGUCUCUGAUUGGGAACCAUAUUUAGGCAGCCAUAUUCUGAGUGUUUCGUGUGUGAUUGUUCCUCUCUCUGUGUUUGCACCAGAUAGGACUGUUUAGGUUUUCACAUUUCAUUAUUUUGUAGUUUAUUCAUGUAUAGUUUUUCCUUUAUUAAACAAACAUGAAUCAUCACAACGCUGCAUUUUGGUCCGACUCUCUUUCACCUAAGGAAAACC
This is a long non-coding RNA of Oncorhynchus tshawytscha (Chinook salmon), 1611 nucleotides long. The record is from Ensembl. Lineage: Eukaryota; Metazoa; Chordata; Actinopteri; Salmoniformes; Salmonidae.